This 336-nucleotide unclassified non-coding RNA is filed under the name soil metagenome. Its description in RNAcentral is "partial contains 5.8S ribosomal RNA, internal transcribed spacer 2, and large subunit ribosomal RNA". The stretch from base 1 to 120 matches the Rfam family "5.8S ribosomal RNA", at positions 35 to 154 of the family's 154-position model. The record is from RNAcentral.
GAUGAAGAACGCAGCGAAAUGCGAUAAGUAGUGUGAAUUGCAGAAUUCAGUGAAUCAUCGAAUCUUUGAACGCACAUUGCGCCCCUUGGUAUUCCAUGGGGCAUGCCUGUUCGAGCGUCAUUUGUACCUUCAAGCUCUGCUUGGUGUUGGGUGUUUGUCUCGCCUCUGCGUGUAGACUCGCCUCAAAACAAUUGGCAGCCGGCGUAUUGAUUUCGGAGCGCAGUACAUCUCGCGCUUUGCACUCAUAACGACGACGUCCAAAAGUACAUUUUACACUCUUGACCUCGGAUCAGGUAGGGAUACCCGCUGAACUUAAGCAUAUCAAUAAGCGGAGGA